Molecule: ribosomal RNA, 253 nt
Filed under: uncultured prokaryote
Description: partial 16S ribosomal RNA
Rfam family: Bacterial small subunit ribosomal RNA
Source: RNAcentral
UACAGAGACUGCAAGCGUUGUUCGGAAUUACUGGGCGUAAAGGGUGCGUAGGCGGCUUUCUAAGUUGGAUGUGAAAACUAUGGGCUCAACCCAUAGCCUGCAUCCAAAACUGGAGAGCUUGGGUUCUGGAGGGGAGAGCGGAAUUCCUGGUGUAGCGGUGAAAUGCGUAGAUAUCAGGAGGAACACCGGUGGCGAAGGCGGCUCUCUGGACAGACACCGACGCUGAGGCACGAAAGCUAGGGGAGCAAACAGG